This 407-nucleotide ribosomal RNA is filed under the name uncultured bacterium. RNAcentral's name for it is "partial 16S ribosomal RNA". It matches the Rfam family "Bacterial small subunit ribosomal RNA", at positions 28 to 526 of the family's 1533-position model. The record is from RNAcentral.
GACGAACGCUGGCGGCGUGCCUAAUACAUGCAAGUCGAACGCAGUUGCGCACGGGUGAGUAACGCGUAGGUAACUGCCUCAUAGCGGGGGAUAACUAUUGGAAACGAUAGCUAAUACCGCCUACUGUGAGAUGGACCUGCUUGGUAUUAGCUAGUUGGUGAGGUAAAGGCUCACCAAGGCGACGAUACAUAGCCGACCUGUGAGGAUGAUCGGCCACACUGGAACUGAGACACGGUCCAGACUCCUACGGGAGGCAGCAGUGGGGAAUAUUCGACAAUGGACGAAAGUCUGAUCGAGCAACGCCGCGUGAGUGAAGAAGGUGUUCGGAUCGUAAAGCUCUGUUGUUAGAGAAGCGGUAUCUAACCAGAAAGCCACGGCUAACUACGUGCCAGCCGCCGCGGUAAUUC